UUCGCUUCUUAAAAAGAAGAGGAAAGUCCGGACACCACAGAGCGGAAUUCCGAUUGAAAAGUCGGGGAACGUUUUUGGGUUAAAAGCUUGAAUAACGUUCACGGAAAGUGCCACAGAAAACAAACCGCCGAGAAAUCGGCAAGGGUGAAAAGGCGGGGUAAGAGCCCACCGCGCCGCAAAGCAAUUUGUGGCGGCACGGCAAACCCAAUUCGGUGCAAGACAGCGUAAGAAGAAGGACUGCUCGUCCGCUAAUCUUCGGGUAUGUCGCACUCCUUGCGGAGACGCCUCGGCGUAGAUAAAUGAAUGCUAUGGCGCAAAGAAACGCCUUUGCGCCGAAACAGAAUUCGGCUUACAGCUU
Molecule: RNase P RNA, 358 nt
Filed under: human gut metagenome
Description: Bacterial RNase P class A
Rfam family: Bacterial RNase P class A
About the family: Ribonuclease P (RNase P) is a ubiquitous endoribonuclease, found in archaea, bacteria and eukarya as well as chloroplasts and mitochondria. Its best characterised activity is the generation of mature 5'-ends of tRNAs by cleaving the 5'-leader elements of precursor-tRNAs.
Source: RNAcentral